CUCCCAAGACUAGGUCAUAGAAGGAAGAGAAAGAAAUCUGAAGCAGCAUGAAGUUCUAACUUUCAGCAGUUUUCAUGAUAUAUGCCAAAUGCCACCACCAAAGUGAUCACUGACUGCCAUGUGGCAAUCCACACUAACACCUGAGACCUCCAGAGCAAACACACACUUGCGUCAACACAGACAUUAAAUAAAUACUUGCAGGUCCAAGACCUUUACAGAACUCAUCUAUGACCUCUACUGGCCAGGCUACUGAAAUACAACAGCUAUCAUUAUUUCAGAAGUUUUUUCAGUCAUUCAUUCAUUUAACAAUACUUUUUAGCACCUAGGAUGGGCCAGGCACUGUUUAAGGAAUGACAAAGAAGACAGACCAAAAAACCCUUCCCUCUUAAAAUUCAGCUGGGCAGCAAUGAAAGGAUAUGCAUUAUAAAUAAGUUGAUUGUAGAUAUUUUGGAAGGUAAUGACUGCCUUUAAAAAGAGGAAAAAGUGAAUCAAAAGAAAGGGAAUCAAAAGCACCCAAGGAGGUGGGGCUGAAGAAGCAGGUUGCAGAAUUAAAUUGGAUCCUCAAGAUAAGUGUUGUUGAGGAGGGGAGAAUUAAGCAAAGACUCCAAGGAGGUGAGAACCUUAGAAACUUAAGACCUAACAGGUAGGUACUCAAAUUAGUUAAAUCAGAUCUCAUCCUGAGAGCAGGGUUUCCACAGUUUCCAGAGUGAUUUUGGAGUCAUUCAGACUUGUGUUCAAAUCCCGUGUGGGACAGCUUUUGCUGUAGCAAAAAAUAACCCCAAAUUCUCAGUGACUUAAGAGCCAAAUACUUAUUUUUUUCUAUGUUUCACGUGGGCUGCAGGCCAACCACAGGUCGGCUGUGACUCUGAUGGGCUCGAUAUUCUGGUCCCAUCCCAGGAACAGGGCUGAAAGGAUAACCACACUCUCAGGCAUAUUGUCCCCAAAGAGGAGGUCAGGGCAAGAAUGCAUCUAAUCAGAGCAAAGAAUUUAAAGCUUCUGCGUGGCACAAAGCAAGUUCAUUCAUAUUCUAUUGACCAAAGAAAAUUGAAUUGGCCAAGCCCAAGUUGGGGGUGGGGAGGCGGCAGGGGAGGGUGUAUCUGGCCCAGACACAGGCAAAGGCAAGGAGAGGAUGGAUGAUUGCACAUAAACAGUGCAACUGCAGAAUUACCCAACCUCUCUGAAACUGACCUUGUACAUCUGUGAAACAAGAAUUAAGAACAGACUACAGGAAUAAAUGAGAUAUUUGUAAAUGCAUUUAGCACAAGAACUGGCUUAUAACAAGGGAUCAAUAAAGGUUAGUAUCCUCUUUUUGUCCACUUCCAAAGGUAGUUCAUCACUCCAGUCAAAUUCUUUUGGAGGCUUAAGAGGCGACUGGGGGGAGGCGGUGGGGAGGGGUGUGUUGGAAAAUGAGGCGCCCGGGACUGGAGAAAUCGAAAUUUAGUUCUUCCUCUACAUCCUGGAAUCAUUACUGAUCUAUAAAAUGAGGCAUUUGUCUAAGUCAUCUCUAAGGUUCCUUUCCAGGGCUGAAGAUCCUCCACUUGCUUUUUCUCUAGAGCCUCUGUUUUGUUCUAACACCAGGUGGCACUAGACGACAACAUAAUGGAAAAGGACAAAGGUUUUUCCGUGGAUAAGAUUCCAGGGCUCUGGACUGUUACUCCUACUUUCCUCUUAUAGAUUGUUAUAAAACAGAACUCUGACAGUUCCUCAGAAAGUACCGCUUUGGGGAAACGGCACCCAAAACAUAAAAUGAGCACCCUCGUCCUAGGACCUGAGGCAUCGGGAAGGACUCCAGGAAGUUGGUGACUACCCCAGACAGUUUCUAAGUUUGAUUUUGGAAGAGGGGAGCGUCUCUUUUUUUGAGCAGAAGUAUAAGAGAAUUGGAACUGUGCUCUAGGAUGUGACAUCUAGCGGUGAAGUGAUGGGAACAAGAAGCGUCUGGCAAGGGGGAGAAUUGGUUAGGAGACUCUUAUCGACAGAACGGAACCCAGGUACAUGGGUUUGAAAGAGGGCAUUGGGAGUGAGCAUAAAGAUGAGUAAGAUGCUGCAGUGACAGAAUCUCUAGAACGUGGCAACUAUUUACAUGAAGAGGCUUCAAGGAGGAUAGGUCAUUAUGAAAGAUGACUCCUGGCUAAGAAGGGAAAUGUCAAGGCCACUGACAGAAACCACGUGACUUCAGGCAGCAGUGUGACUGUUAUUCCUGCAUCUCACAUGUACACCCUGAAGGACCCAGGAGGGGGUCCUCCCUCUUAGGAACUGAGAAACCCCUGGGGCAUGAGUAUUGGUCCUAAAAGGGCCAGACGUCCUGCUGUGGAGAGCACUGAAAUGUUCCAAUAUGACACCUGGCCUUUUCUCAAGAAAUGUUUCCUUAAACAUGAUGUUACCAAUGGCAACUUUAAAAUCCAGAGAUGGUGUUCCCGUUGUGGUUCAGCGGAAACAAACCUGACUAGCAUACAUGAAGACACAGGUUCAAUCCCUGGCCUCACUCAGUGGGUUAAGGAUCUGGCCUUGCCAUGAGCUGUGGUUAUAGGUCGAAGACAUGGUUCGGAUCUGGUGUUGCUGUGGCUGUGGUGUAGGCUGGCAGCUGUAGCUCCAAUUUGACCCCUAGCCUAGGAACCUCCACAUACCAUGGGUGUGGCCCUAAAAAGACAAAAAAUAAAAAUAAAAAAUAAAUCAAAUAAAAUCCAGAGACAUUUCUCUCUUGCAAUUGGAGACAGGGGAUACAUGGGAAAUCUCUAUACCUUUCACUUAAUUUUUUCUGUGACCGUAACAGUGCUCUUUUUAAAAAAGGAAAUCUGUUUUUUAAAAUCCUGGAGGGUUCUGGAAAGAUGGUGGAGUAGGGGUCCCCAGGAAUCUGUCUCCCCUACUACACAACAAUUGCACCGGCAGAGCUGGCCUGAUGUAACUCUUGUGGAAGUUUGGACAGUUUACCGAAGGCUUGCCAUGUGCAGGGGAAGACUUGGACAGUUGAUUUUGGCCAAUUUCAGCUCUCAGCACAGAGCGGCGACCCCACCCCCAUGGCAGGCAGCUGUGCCCCCAGCCUGCAUGAGCCAGGAUGCCAAAAAGGACCUGUCCUCCAAACCAUGAUUUGUGCUCUGAUCACUGGGGCACAGAGCAGAGAUCUGUGUUCUGAUCACGGGGUGCAGUGGCCAUUUCUGUUGCACUUCCCUGCUAAUGCAAGUCCCUCCUCAUCUGGCUGAAGUACCAUUCAGGAGAUUUAAAAGGCCAAUAUUUUGUUUUCCCACCCACCACCCCCCAGCAUGCAGUGGCUUGAUGUGGGAUCUCAGUUCCCAGACCAGGGAUUAAACCUGGGCCAAAGCAGUGAAACUUGGGAAUUCUAACCACUGGACCACCAGGGAACUACCACCAGUGCCAUUUUUAAAACCACUUUGGGUCCCCCCCCCCUUUCUGGUAGUCUGACAUUAAAGACUACGACAUUAAAAGAUGACUGCAUAUAUAGGGAAAGUUAGAAAGUGAUUGGUAAUGCCCAGGGAAAGGUUCAGAAAAGACCUAAGAAUAUCUUAAGUUUACGCCUGAGACUGACCCUCAACAAUAAGCCAGUCUACAUAAUUGAAAAACAAAAACAAUAAACAAGCACAAUAUCAAAACAAAGCAAAUCCUGGAGGAAGAGAAAGAAUAUGAUUUCCAGAGUUACCAUUGUAUCAAUUCAAAUGUCCAGCUUCUACCAAAACAAAAAACAAAAAAUCACAAGGCAUACAAAGAAAUAGGGAAAUAUGGUAUAUUCAAAGAAAUAAAAUGGAUUGAUAAAAACUGUCACUGAAAGAGAUCCAACAGAAGAAAUAUUAAAUCAAGACUUUAAAAUAGCUGACAUAAAAAUUUUCAAAGGGAGCUCCCAUUGUGACUCAACAGUAACAACACGACUGGUAAACAUGAGGGUGCAGAUUUGAUCCAUGGCCUUGCUCAGUGGGUUAAGGAUCAGGUGUUGCUGUGAGCUGUGGUGUAGGUCGCAGAAGUAGCUCGGAUCCCCAUGUUGCUGUGGCUGUGGUGUAGGUUGGCAGCUACAACUCUGAUUCAACCCCUAGCCUGAGAACUUCCCUAUGCCAAGGGUACAGCCUCCCAUGCCCCCCAAAAAGACAGAUAUCAUACAAAAUGUGUUCUUCAACCACAAUGUAUAGAAGUUAGAAAUCAGUAACAGAGGGAAAACUAAAAAACUCACAAAAUUGUGGAAAUUAAACAAUACACUUAUCAACAACCAAUGGAUCAAAGUAGACAAUACAAGGGAUAUUAUUAGAAAAUACUUACAGACUAAUGAAAACAAAAACAUGACAUGCCAAAACUUAUGGAAUACAGUGAAAGUACUGUUAAUUGGGAAAUUUAUAGCUAUAAAUAUCUACUUUAAAAACAAGAACGAUAUCAAAUCAAAAACCUAACCUUAUAACUUAAGGAAUAGGAAAAGAAGAACAAAUUAAACUUAAAGCUAGCAGGAAGAAGGAAAUAAUAAAGAUUAGAAUACAGAUAAACAAAAUAGAGAAUAGAAAAGCAAUAGAGAAAAAUCAAUGAAACCAAAAGUUGGCUCUUAAAUGAUCAACAAAAUUGACAAAUCUUACCUCACACCAGUAAGAAUAGAUAUCAUCAAAAUGUCUAUAAAUAACAAAUGCUGGAAAAAAGGGAACCCUCCAACACUGUUGGUGGGAAUGUAAAUUGGUAAAAGCACCAUGGAGAACAGUAUGCAGGUUCCCUAAAAAAACUAAAAAUAGAACUACUAUAUGAUCCAGCAAUUCCAUCCCUAGGCAUAUAUCCAGAGAAAACUGUAAUUUGAAAAGAUGCAUGCACCUCAGUGUUCACUGCAGCACUAUUUACAAUAGUCAAGGCAUGGAAACUAGCUAAAUGUUCAUCAACAGAAGAAUGGAUAAAGACGAUGAGGUACAUAGACACAAUGGAAUACUGCUCAGCCAUAACAAGAAUGAAAUAAUGCCAUCUGUAGCAACAUGGAUGGAACUGGAGAUUAUCAUAUUAAGUGACGUAAUCCAGAAAAAGACCAGUAUCAUAUGAUAUUACUUAUACAUGGAAUCCAUAAAAAUGAUACAAAAGAAUUUAUUUAUAAAACAGAAACUCAAAGAUUUCAAAAUUAAAUUUAGAAUUACCAAAGGGGAAACCAUGGGGUCAGGGGAGGGAUAAAUUGGGAGGAUUAACACACACACACACUACUAUACACACAGUAGAUAACUAACAAGGACCUAAUGAACAGUGCAGGGAGGUCUACUCAACGUUCUGAAAUAACCUAUGGGAAGGAAAGAAUAGAUGUAUGUGUAAUUAAUCCACUUUGCCGUCAACAUGACACCAAUACAAUACUGUAAAUCAAUUACAUCCCAAUUAAAUUUUAGAAAUUGACAAAACUUUAGCUACUGGACUAAGAAUGAAGAAGAAAAGAAUCAAAUUACUAAAAUCAGAAGUGAAGGGGUUUCCAUUGCGGCUCAGUGGGUUAAGGACCCAACAUCUCUCUGAGGAUACAGGUUUGAACCCUGGUCUCACUCGGUGGAUUAAGGAUCUAGCAUUGCCACAAGCUGUGGUGUAGGUUGCAGAAGUGGCUCAGAUCUGGCGUUGCCAGGGUUGUGGUGUAGGCCACAGCUGCAGCUCAGAUUCCCCUGGCCUGGGAACUUCUUUAUGCCACAGGUAUGACCAUAAACAGAAAAAAAAAAGUCUACAAACAAUAAAUGCUGGAGAGAGUAUGGAGAAAAGAAAACCCCCUUACACUGUUGAUGAGAAUGUAAAUUGGUACAACAGCUGUGGGGAACAGUAAGGAGGUUCCUCAAAAAACUAAAAAUAGAACUACUGGGUCACCUUGCUGUGCAGCAGAAAUUUGACAGAACACUGUAAAUCAGCUGUAACGGAAAAAAUAAAAAUGAUUAUUUUAAAAAAGUAGAAUAAAAUCCCCCCCAAAAAGAACUACCAUAUGAUCCAGCAAUCUCACUCCUGGGCAUCUAUCCAGAGAAAAUCAUAAUUUGAAAAGAUAUACACACUGCCAAUGUUUAUUUCAGCUUUACUUACAAUAGCCAAAACAUGAAAGCAACCUAAAUGUCCAUCAACAAAGGAAUGGAUAAAGAUGUGGUGCAUAUAUGCAAUGGACUACUACUCAGCCAUAAAA
This 6103-nucleotide long non-coding RNA is filed under the name Sus scrofa (pig). Its description in RNAcentral is "lncRNA (ENSSSCG00000046203.2)". Lineage: Eukaryota; Metazoa; Chordata; Mammalia; Artiodactyla; Suidae. The record is from RNAcentral.